RNAcentral lists this ribosomal RNA (1369 nucleotides) under uncultured bacterium. RNAcentral's name for it is "bacterial SSU rRNA". It matches the Rfam family "Bacterial small subunit ribosomal RNA", at positions 28 to 1381 of the family's 1533-position model. The record is from RNAcentral.
GACGAACGCUGGCGGCGUGCCUAAUACAUGCAAGUAGAACGCUGAAGAGAGGAGCUUGCUCUUCUUGGAUGAGUUGCGAACGGGUGAGUAACGCGUAGGUAACCUGCCUGGUAGCGGGGGAUAACUAUUGGAAACGAUAGCUAAUACCGCAUAAAAUUGAUUAUUGCAUGAUAAUUAAUUGAAAGAUGCAAUUGCAUCACUACCAGAUGGACCUGCGUUGUAUUAGCUAGUUGGUGAGGUAACGGCUCACCAAGGCGACGAUACAUAGCCGACCUGAGAGGGUGAUCGGCCACACUGGGACUGAGACACGGCCCAGACUCCUACGGGAGGCAGCAGUAGGGAAUCUUCGGCAAUGGGGGGAACCCUGACCGAGCAACGCCGCGUGAGUGAAGAAGGUUUUCGGAUCGUAAAGCUCUGUUGUAAGAGAAGAACGGGUGUGAGAGUGGAAAGUUCACACUGUGACGGUAUCUUACCAGAAAGGGACGGCUAACUACGUGCCAGCAGCCGCGGUAAUACGUAGGUCCCGAGCGUUGUCCGGAUUUAUUGGGCGUAAAGCGAGCGCAGGCGGUUAGAUAAGUCUGAAGUUAAAGACUGUGGCUUAACCAUAGUAUGCUUUGGAAACUGUUUAACUUGAGUGCAGAAGGGGAGAGUGGAAUUCCAUGUGUAGCGGUGAAAUGCGUAGAUAUAUGGAGGAACACCGGUGGCGAAAGCGGCUCUCUGGUCUGUAACUGACGCUGAGGCUCGAAAGCGUGGGGAGCAAACAGGAUUAGAUACCCCGGUAGUCCACGCCGUAAACGAUGAGUGCUAGGUGUUAGGCCCUUUCCGGGGCUUAGUGCCGCAGCUAACGCAUUAAGCACUCCGCCUGGGGAGUACGACCGCAAGGUUGAAACUCAAAGGAAUUGACGGGGGCCCGCACAAGCGGUGGAGCAUGUGGUUUAAUUCGAAGCAACGCGAAGAACCUUACCAGGUCUUGACAUCCCUCUGACCGCUCUAGAGAUAGAGUUUUCCUUCGGGACAGAGGUGACAGGUGGUGCAUGGUUGUCGUCAGCUCGUGUCGUGAGAUGUUGGGUUAAGUCCCGCAACGAGCGCAACCCCUAUUGUUAGUUGCCAUCAUUGAGUUGGGCACUCUAGCGAGACUGCCGGUAAUAAACCGGAGGAAGGUGGGGAUGACGUCAAAUCAUCAUGCCCCUUAUGACCUGGGCUACACACGUGCUACAAUGGCUGGUACAACGAGUCGCAAGCCGGUGACGGCAAGCUAAUCUCUGAAAGCCAGUCUCAGUUCGGAUUGUAGGCUGCAACUCGCCUACAUGAAGUCGGAAUCGCUAGUAAUCGCGGAUCAGCACGCCGCGGUGAAUACGUUCCCGGGCCU